This 588-nucleotide ribosomal RNA is filed under the name uncultured Glomus. RNAcentral's name for it is "SSU rRNA". It matches the Rfam family "Eukaryotic small subunit ribosomal RNA", at positions 624 to 1213 of the family's 1831-position model. Lineage: Eukaryota; Fungi; Glomeromycota; Glomeromycetes; Glomerales; Glomeraceae. The record is from RNAcentral.
AAGCUCGUAGUUGAAUUUCGGGGUUAGUAGGUUGGUCAUGCCUCUGGUAUGUACUGGUCUCACUGAUUCCUCCUUCCUUAUGAACCGUAAUGCCAUUAAUUUGGUGUUGCGGGGAAUUUGGACUGUUACUUUGAAAAAAUUAGAGUGUUUAAAGCAAGCUAACGCUUGAAUACAUUAGCAUGGAAUAAUGAAAUAGGACGUUCGAUCUUAUUUUGUUGGUUUCUAGGAUUGACGUAAUGAUUAAUAGGGAUAGUUGGGGGCAUUAGUAUUCAAUUGUCAGAGGUGAAAUUCUUGGAUUUAUUGAAGACUAACUACUGCGAAAGCAUUUGCCAAGGAUGUUUUCAUUAAUCAAGAACGAAAGUUAGGGGAUCGAAGACGAUCAGAUACCGUCGUAGUCUUAACCAUAAACUAUGCCGACUAGGGAUCGGAUGAUGUUAAUUUUUUAAUGACUCAUUCGGCGCCUUACGGGAAACCAAAGUGUUUGGGUUCCGGGGGGAGUAUGGUCGCAAGGCUGAAACUUAAAGGAAUUGACGGAAGGGCACCACCAGGGGUGGAGCCUGCGGCUUAAUUUGACUCAACACGGGGAGA